This is a long non-coding RNA of Betta splendens (Siamese fighting fish), 1187 nucleotides long. RefSeq lists it as uncharacterized. The transcript has 3 exons. The record is from RefSeq and is a predicted model, not a curated record. NCBI's taxonomy places the organism in Eukaryota, Metazoa, Chordata, Actinopteri, Anabantiformes, Osphronemidae.
AUUGUGCGGCAGAUCAUCUCGGAGGCGGCACUGACUUGGUGCCUUCCCGCCUCGAGGCCCCGCGCCGCGUUCAGGGAACCGCUGUGACGCGUCCGAACGUUACACCUGUUUUAAUGGAAGCCCAUUUUUGCUCGUGUUUACACUGGCCAAGGUUCAGUGCGAGAUGCAAUCUGUUAAAUUGCAGCUUGUUGAAGUCAGAAGAUAAGAAAGAUGUUUAAAUUCUCUGCGUCUUCCUGCCCCUGCUGCGACUCACGGGAUCCCAGCCAAUAAUUUAAGAGAAUGGACUGAGCAAUGAUGGGACAGUUAAUACAAAGAAGUAUUUUUAUGUGUGAUAAGAGGAGCUACGUGCUGUGGCACCAUGGAAAAAGCACAAUUUGGGGUCACAGGGGCAUCCUCAGAUUUCCCCUGCGCAUUAUCAUUCACGUUUGGCAGAAAUAGACUGAACAGGAAGGGGAACCUGGCAUGUGAACGCCGUUCAGAUGCCAGUCAAUGAUGAAAAAGACAUCAUACAUGUGAAAGUCACAAGGUAAAGAACAUCACGCUUAACUCAAGACAAAGACUGGGUUGAGGUGAGAACAUCCAUAGACAAUGGACCUAACCAUCCUUUACGUCUGCACCUCAGCUCCUUCCUGUCAGUGAAAUGUCUUAUUGUUUCAAAUGCAAUAAGUAAAGGUUGUUUAUAGUAUAAUUAUCUUUAUGCAUCCUACAACCAAUCCAGGAGCUGGUGCUAAGUCUAAACAGUUUCAGUGGUCAUAGUGGCCUCUCUCUCCCGGUGAAGCUUGAUACACUUCCUUUAUUAAGCAGCCGAUCGUUCUCCGCUUCAUCCGAAAUCAUUGUGGGGAAAAGGGGGACACAGUCAGUGGCACCGCUGGAGGUGGAGCAGCACGCGUCCGUCCCCACCCUGCUCCUUCUGACACAAUCAAGGGCAUAAUCGAAGAGGCCGAGCUCCGUAACGCAGCACGGUGCCGUUGGAAUACGCGCUCCCCUCACGUCCUAACGAUGGCUGCAUUAAAAAGGUAUCCAGCUCCCGAACCGACGCAGGCGGCCAAGGAGCUGCUACGGCAAAUCAGACAGAUUUAUGUCAAACCACAGCUGAACCCGUGAGUUCUGAGCAGCACUGGAGCCGUGUGAUGUCUCGUCUGUCUGCUCUCACACGAGAGGCGACACACACACACACACACACACGA